GUAGGUGAACCUGCGGAGGGAUCAUUACACAAUAUGAAAGCGGGCUGGCAUCCUUCGGGGUUACAGCCUUGCUGAAUUAUUCACCCGUGUCUUUUGCGUACUUCUUGUUUCCUUGGUGGGUUCGCCCACCAUAGGACAAACCAUAAACCUUUUGUAAUUGCAAUCAGCGUCAGAAACAACGUAAUCGUUACAACUUUCAACAACGGAUCUCUUGGUUCUG
Molecule: unclassified non-coding RNA, 220 nt
Filed under: rhizosphere metagenome
Description: partial ribosomal RNA internal transcribed spacer region
Source: RNAcentral